UUCCGGUUGAUCCUGCCGGAAGGCCAUUGCUAUUGGAGUUCGAUUUAGCCAUGCUAGUUGCACGGGUUGAGACCCGUGGCAAAUAGCUCAGUAACACGUGGUCAAACUGCCCUGUGGACGAAGAUAACUUCGGGAAACUGAGGCUAAUCUUCGAUACAGCUCUCACGCUGGACGUGCGGAGAGUUGGAAAUGCUCCGGCGCCAUAGGAUGUGACUGCGGUCGCUUAGGUUGACGGUGGGGUAACGGCCCACCGUGCCGAUAAUCGGUACGGGUUGUGAGAGCAAGAACCCGGAGACGGAAUCUGAGACAAGAUUCCGGGCCCUACGGGGCGCAGCAGGCGCGAAACCUUUACACUGCACGACAGUGCGAUAGGGGAACUCCAAGUGCGAGGGCAUAUAGUCCUCGCUUUUCUGUAUUGUAAGGUAAUACAGGAACAAGUGCUGGGCAAGACCGGUGCCAGCCGCCGCGGU
RNAcentral lists this ribosomal RNA (470 nucleotides) under uncultured archaeon. Its description in RNAcentral is "bacterial SSU rRNA". It matches the Rfam family "Archaeal small subunit ribosomal RNA", at positions 1 to 471 of the family's 1478-position model. The record is from RNAcentral.